Acanthaster planci (crown-of-thorns starfish) is the source of this 76-nucleotide non-coding RNA. The record is from the annotation of a RefSeq genome assembly. Lineage: Eukaryota; Metazoa; Echinodermata; Asteroidea; Valvatida; Acanthasteridae.
GGCUGGAUAGCUCAUCAGUUGGUAGAGCACCGGUUCAGUAUUCUGGAGGUCGUGGGUUCGAAUCCCGCUCCAGUCA